AGAGUUUGAUCCUGGCUCAGGAUGAACGCUGGCGGUAUGCUUAACACAUGCAAGUCGAACGGAGUGCUUCGGCACUUAGUGGCGGACGGGUGAGUAACGCGUGAGAAUCUGCCAAAAGGACUGGGACAACCACUGGAAACGGUGGCUAAUACCGGAUGAGCCGCAACGUAAAAGAGGAAACUCGCCUUUUGAGGAGCUCGCGUCUGAUUAGCUAGUUGGUGAGGUAAGAGCUCACCAAGGCAUCGAUCAGUAGCUGGUCUGAGAGGAUGAUCAGCCACACUGGGACUGAGACACGGCCCAGACUCCUACGGGAGGCAGCAGUGGGGAAUUUUCCGCAAUGGGCGAAAGCCUGACGGAGCAAGACCGCGUGAGGGAGGAAGGCUCUUGGGUUGUAAACCUCUUUUGUCAGGGAAGAACACAAUGACGGUACCUGAAGAAUCAGCAUCGGCUAACUCCGUGCCAGCAGCCGCGGUAAUACGGGGGAUGCAAGCGUUAUCCGGAAUUAUUGGGCGUAAAGCGUCCGCAGGUGGCUAAUCAAGUCUGCUGUCAAAGGUUGGGGCUUAACCCCAAAAAGGCAGUGGAAACUGAGAAGCUAGAGUGCAGUAGGGGUAGAGGGAAUUCCCGGUGUAGCGGUGAAAUGCGUAGAGAUCGGGAAGAACAUCGGUGGCGAAAGCGCUCUACUGGACUGCAACUGACACUCAGGGACGAAAGCUAGGGGAGCGAAUGGGAUUAGAUACCCCCGUAGUCC
RNAcentral lists this ribosomal RNA (748 nucleotides) under uncultured cyanobacterium. RNAcentral's name for it is "bacterial SSU rRNA". It matches the Rfam family "Bacterial small subunit ribosomal RNA", at positions 8 to 796 of the family's 1533-position model. The record is from RNAcentral. Lineage: Bacteria; Bacillati; Cyanobacteriota.